RNAcentral lists this ribosomal RNA (454 nucleotides) under uncultured bacterium. RNAcentral describes it as "bacterial SSU rRNA". It matches the Rfam family "Bacterial small subunit ribosomal RNA", at positions 340 to 784 of the family's 1533-position model. The record is from RNAcentral.
UACGGAAGGCAGCAGUGGGGAAUAUUGCACAAUGGGCGAAAGCCUGAUGCAGCUAUGCCGCGUGUAUGAAGAAGGCCUUAGGGUUGUAAAGUACUUUCAUCGGGGAGGAAAAAACAAAACUAAUAAUUUUAUUUCUUGACGUUACCCGAAAAAGAAGCACCGGCUAACUCCGUGCCAGCAGCCGCGGUAAUACGGAGGGUGCUAGCGUUAAUCAGAAUUACUGGGCGUAAAGAGCACGUAGGUGGUUUUUUAAGUCAGAUGUGAAAUCCCUGGGCUUAACCUAGGAACUGCAUUUUGAAACUGAAAUACUAGAGUAUCGUAGAGGGAGGUAGAAUUCUAGGUGUAGCGGUGAAAUGCGUAGAUAUCUGGAGGAAUACCUGUGGCGAAAGCGGCCUCCUAAACGAAUACUGACACUGAGGUGCGAAAGCGUGGGGAGCAAACAGGGAUUUAGAUA